Eubalaena glacialis (North Atlantic right whale) is the source of this 397-nucleotide long non-coding RNA. RefSeq lists it as uncharacterized. The record is from RefSeq and is a predicted model, not a curated record. The transcript is spliced from 3 exons. Lineage: Eukaryota; Metazoa; Chordata; Mammalia; Artiodactyla; Balaenidae.
GAGGCGUGUGGCUUCCUGUGCCCCACCCUCCUUUUCCCUUGAGAAGAAGGUACAUAGACUCUUCAGCAUCCUGCUCAGUCUCUACAAGCCCUGCUGGCCCUCAGCUCCAGCUACCAGCAGAAACUCCCUGUCCAAGGAGGCUCAUAGCAGCUAACCAGACAACAGAGAAGGAAGCUGCUUGCAGACAACAGAGAAAGAAGCUGCUUGCUGUAGCCAGCACCUUCAGGAUGGCAGACAGCCGACAGGGCAUCUCACCCUGAAGGUGUUAUUUGGGCCUGGCACCAAGACUAGACAUAGAUGGAUGGAGAGAGGCUGGAGAGAGUACCUGUAGAAAAGUAUUUGUGAUUCUUCCGUGUUUUCUGUCAGGUUGCUUAAGGAAUAAUUAUUCAUGUAUAAA